UACGUAGGCAGCGAGCGUUGUUCGGAGUUAUUGGGCGUAAAGGGUGUGUAGGCGGUUGUUUAAGUUUGGUGUGAAAUCUCCCGGCUCAACUGGGAGGGUGCGCCGAAUACUGAAUGGCUUCGAGUGCGGGAGAGGAGAGUGGAAUUCCUGGUGUAGCGGUGAAAUGCGUAGAUAUCAGGAGGAACACCGGUGGUGUAGACGGCUCUUUGGAUCGUAACUGACGCUGAGACACGAAAGCGUGGGUAGCAAACAGG
Molecule: ribosomal RNA, 254 nt
Filed under: uncultured bacterium
Lineage: Bacteria
Description: partial 16S ribosomal RNA
Rfam family: Bacterial small subunit ribosomal RNA
Source: RNAcentral